RNAcentral lists this long non-coding RNA (740 nucleotides) under Mytilus galloprovincialis (Mediterranean mussel). Lineage: Eukaryota; Metazoa; Mollusca; Bivalvia; Mytilida; Mytilidae. The record is from RNAcentral.
UUUAAGUAUAGUUUUAUUCGGCGUUUUGCAUUUGCGCCGAUCUGCAUUUCAUUUGCGCCGAUUUUUUCUUUCAUUUGCGCCGAUUUUUUUUUUCAUUUGCGCCGAUUUUUUUACAGGUAAAUUACAGGUGAAAUGAUAUAAGAAGAUGUGGUAUGAGUGCCAAUGAGACAACUCUCAAUCCCAGUAAUGUUAUUUUCAUUUAUCAUUAAAGACCUCUUCCGUUAGCCAGUUGUACAUAUGUUAUGAAUUGUCAAUCAUAACAUGUAUAUAACUGUUGUCUCCUGCUUAAAAUCAAGAAGUAAAAACCUAAGAUAAAAGCACUUUGUUUAAACUAAAAUGACGAAUUAAAAAUAUAUGUACAGCAUUCAAAUCCAUAAAAACGGAAUACAUUCAAAUCAUAAAUCUGUUCUUGCCGAGUAUGUAUAGGCAACACAUCUAAUAUUUCCUUUCUUAUGAUUUCGUCUCUUCUAUAUUUGGCGUAAUUGUCGAUAACGAAGGCUAUCUUUUCUUUGUCUGGCAUACGUACUGGUGGGGGCAUUUCUAGAGUUCGCAUUUUCUCACAAGGAAGCUAUUAAACCAAGAGUUCCAAAUGGUGAAGUUGAAAUCAUCCCUUCGUUAAUUUUAUGGACGCCAUCACGAAUUAGUUGAUAGUUAUGGAAUGUGUAUUUGUACGUUGUCUAAGAAUAUAUGACAUUUGUCAUCAGAAGGAGCGUCAGACACUGUCAAACGUGAAGCAGUCA